RNAcentral lists this ribosomal RNA (253 nucleotides) under uncultured bacterium. Its description in RNAcentral is "partial 16S ribosomal RNA". It matches the Rfam family "Bacterial small subunit ribosomal RNA", at positions 524 to 776 of the family's 1533-position model. The record is from RNAcentral.
UACGGAGGGUGCAAGCGUUGUCCGGAUUUAUUGGGUUUAAAGGGUGCGUAGGUGGCCUUAUAAGUCAGUGGUGAAAGCCUGCAGCUUAACUGUAGGACUGCCAUUGAUACUGUAGGGCUUGAGUACUGAUGAGGUAGGCGGAAUUGAUAGUGUAGCGGUGAAAUGCAUAGAUAUUAUCAAGAACACCGAUUGCGAAGGCAGCUUACUAAGGAGUUACUGACACUGAGGCACGAAAGCGUGGGGAGCAAACAGG